This 390-nucleotide small RNA is filed under the name Pongo abelii (Sumatran orangutan). RNAcentral describes it as "processed transcript". The stretch from base 62 to 115 matches the Rfam family "Editing element of GABA-3 exon 9". Lineage: Eukaryota; Metazoa; Chordata; Mammalia; Primates; Hominidae. The record is from RNAcentral.
AGGUGUCACCACUGUGCUUACCAUGACCACCUUGAGUAUCAGUGCCAGAAAUUCCUUACCUAAAGUGGCAUAUGCGACGGCCAUGGACUGGUUCAUAGCCGUCUGUUAUGCCUUUGUAUUUUCUGCACUGAUUGAAUUUGCCACUGUCAACUAUUUCACCAAGCGGAGUUGGGCUUGGGAAGGCAAGAAGGUGCCAGAGGCCCUGGAGAUGAAGGUCAUGCCACACACUUUUGGGACACUAUCCUUGACCUGAAAUCUAGAGCAGCAGGUAUCCUCAGUGUCAUCUUCACCCUGGUCUGAUUUUCACUGCACUUCACUUUCACUUUCACUUCACUUCCGAGCCCUUAUUUUUUGGGAUUAAGGUUAUAAAAGCUAUUAAGUUUCACCAAA